UACGGAGGGUGCAAGCGUUGUCCGGAAUCAUUGGGCGUAAAGCGCGCGUAGGUGGCCUCAUAAGUCCGCUGUGAAAGUCAAAGGCUCAACCUUUGAAAGCCGGUGGAUACUGUGAGGCUAGAGUACGGAAGAGGCGAGUGGAAUUCCUGGUGUAGCGGUGGAAUGCGCAGAUAUCAGGAGGAACACCGAUGGCGAAGGCAGGUCUCUGGGCCACUACUGACGCUGAGAAGCGAAAGCAUGGGGAGCGAACAGG
Molecule: ribosomal RNA, 253 nt
Filed under: uncultured bacterium
Lineage: Bacteria
Description: partial 16S ribosomal RNA
Rfam family: Bacterial small subunit ribosomal RNA
Source: RNAcentral